AAGCAAGCGACACGGGCUCCAUUGUGAGGUUUCUCUGUUGUCAUUGCAGCGAACCCUAGAGAGAGACUGCUCGCUCAGUGCAGGAUCCAGGCCCAGCCAAGCCCUGGCCAGAGGAUGGCCCAUCCAUGCGGUGAGAUCAAAACAUACGGGUUCAUCAGGCUGUGAAGAUGGACCUUCCGCAGAAUGCUUCUCCAGUCCUUCUCCCAAGACGGCCGCUUCUCUUCCCCAGACCCACCUCCCAGGAGCCAGGCACUGAAAAGAAGACUAUGAGUCCUCCAGGUGGAGGCUGGGAUAAUCUAACUCUGAAAAGAUUCAACAGGCAAGCUGGCGCUCACAUUUUCUGCUGCAGAAGAGUUUCAGCCACUGAACGGUCGGGGCAAAGAGCUUCAUUACCCUGCAAUCCCUGGCACUGAAACACUUGCUGUUUCUAUUUCGGACUGGGGCAUGCUGAGGUCGGCCGAGGUGGUUGUACAGAGACAUGCGUGCACAUUAAGCACAGGGGUGUGCAUUCGUCCUACUCUCUAUGAUGCUGCUACCAUCAAAGGAUGGGACUUGGAAUUAGAAAAUAGCUUUCAUUUCUUUUAGACGGGUGAGUAACAGUAGCAUUUGUUCGACUCUGUUAAAACACUGCUAUUUCUGUGUAAUAUUUAAUAAAUAAAAAUGGAAUGUUGGUGAUCUGUAGCUCUCUUCCAACGUUCCCUUAGAAAUAUAACUAGGAGGGAAAGAGAGACAGAUUUUGUUUUUCUGUGUGUGUGUUUUUUUUUUCAGUGAAAUCUAGAAUUCAUUUCUCAAAGAGUGAAACAAAGAUACAUAGGCACUGCUUACUGUUUUUGUUUGAAUUCAAGUAAUCUUUUAGCUCUGCGGGACCGCACAGGACAUGUGAGGAAGGAGGUGGAAGGGGAGACACCAUGCAAAUGACCAAACUCAUACAUGAGGCCCAGUAGAAGCGGAUGCACUGUGGGGCCGCAGCAGUGGAAGCUAUCAGUGCACACAGACUUUGACUUUAAAUCAGGCUUGUAAAUCACACAGGGCUGUACGUGUACUCGGUGCCUGUAAAGUCUAUUUUGUGUAUCAGGCAGGCUUCUCCACUAGAGCCCAGGAAACCUGAUGGAUUCUUUCAUUCCCUUAACGGAGAGUCGAUAAGCCCCUCAUGCGUGGCAGGUGCUAAGGCUGAAGUGGAGAAGACACAGGCCCCGGUCUUCGUUGGGAGGCAUCUUGGUCCAGGAAACAGUCACGGAGCCCAUCCGGAGUCUCCUAAGGAAGGAUUUGGAAGCAAGGACCGUCACUGUCAUGCUCGUGUGAGACAUGGUCACUUGAUGGGCAACCAGCAUGAGUGGAGGCAGCCAGUCUGGGAGGA
This 1357-nucleotide long non-coding RNA is filed under the name Fukomys damarensis (Damara mole-rat). RNAcentral describes it as "lncRNA (ENSFDAG00000025103.1)". Lineage: Eukaryota; Metazoa; Chordata; Mammalia; Rodentia; Bathyergidae. The record is from RNAcentral.